RNAcentral lists this transfer RNA (71 nucleotides) under Bos taurus (domestic cattle). It matches the Rfam family "tRNA". From Rfam's summary of the family: Transfer RNA (tRNA) molecules are approximately 80 nucleotides in length. Their secondary structure includes four short double-helical elements and three loops (D, anti-codon, and T loops). RNAcentral also lists the same sequence under 2 other names. The record is from Rfam by way of RNAcentral. Lineage: Eukaryota; Metazoa; Chordata; Mammalia; Artiodactyla; Bovidae.
UCCCUGGUGGCUCAGUGGUAAAGAAUCUGUCUGCAGUACAGGAGACCUGGGUUCGAUCCCUGGGUUGGGAA